GCAAGCGUUAAUCGGAAUUACUGGGCGUAAAGCGCGCGUAGGCGGUUUGGUAAGUGUGAUGUGAAAGCCCCGGGCUCAACCCCAUGCAUGCCGGGGAUACUGGGGGGCUUGAGACAGGUAGAGGCCAGCGGAAUUCCGGGUGUAGCGGUGGAAUGCGUAGAGAUCCGGAAGAACACCGGAGGCGAAGGCGGCUGGCUGGACCUGAUCUGACGCUGAGGUGCGAAAGCGUGGGGAGCGAACA
Molecule: ribosomal RNA, 241 nt
Filed under: uncultured bacterium
Lineage: Bacteria
Description: partial 16S ribosomal RNA
Rfam family: Bacterial small subunit ribosomal RNA
Source: RNAcentral